RNAcentral lists this ribosomal RNA (602 nucleotides) under Tomentella verruculata. RNAcentral describes it as "partial large subunit ribosomal RNA". It matches the Rfam family "Eukaryotic large subunit ribosomal RNA", at positions 81 to 660 of the family's 3401-position model. Lineage: Eukaryota; Fungi; Basidiomycota; Agaricomycetes; Thelephorales; Thelephoraceae. The record is from RNAcentral.
UAGUAACUGCGAGUGAAGCGGGAAGAGCUCAAAUUUAAAAUCUGAUGUGCUGUCAGCCAUCCGAGUUGUAGUCUGGAGAAGCGUUUUCUGUGUUGGACCAUGUACAAGUCCCUUGGAACAGGGCGUCAUAGAGGGUGAGAAUCCCGUCUUUGACAUGGACUACCAACGCUUUGUGAUGCGCUCUCAAAGAGUCGAGUUGUUUGGGAAUGCAGCUCAAAACGGGUGGUAAAUUCCAUCUAAAGCUAAAUAUAGGCGAGAGACCGAUAGCGAACAAGUACCGUGAGGGAAAGAUGAAAAGCACUUUGGAAAGAGAGUUAAACAGUACGUGAAAUUGCUGAAAGGGAAACGCUUGAAGUCAGUCGCAUCUGCUGGGACUCAGCCUUGCUUAUGCUUGGUGCAUUUUUCCAGUUUGAUGGGCCAGCAUCAAUUUCGACCGUUAGAAAAAGGCCUUGGGAAUGUGGCACCGCUCGGUGUGUUAUAGCCCUUGGUCAUAUGUGACGGUUGGGAUUGAGGAUCGCAGCAUGCCUUCACGGCUGGGGUUUUUGCCCACACCACAUGCUUAGGAUGCUGGCAUAAUGGCUUUAAGCGACCCGUCUUGAAAC